UAGAGGCCAACUGGGUAAGUAAUCAUAAGCCACUUGCCCACGAAGACUUGCGAUAUUUCUUUGAAACGAGGACUAAUACCGGAUAGGUUACGAAUUCGCAUGAAUUUGUAAUUAAAAGGUUAGAAACACUGGUGGAUGGGCUUAUGGUGCAUUAGCUAGUUGGUGAGGUAAACGGCCCACCAAGGCGAUGAUGCAUAGCCCGGGCUGAGAGGCUGAACGGCCACAUUGGGACCUGAGACACGGCCCAGACUCUUACGGGAGGCAGCAGUAGGGAAUUUUCGGCAAUGGGGGAAAACCCUGACCGAGCAACGCCGCGUGAGUGAUGAAGGUCUUCGGAUUGUAAAGCUCUGUUGUAAGGGAAGAAUGAAUUGGAUAGAAUCCGAUUGUGACGGUACCUUACCAGAAAGCUACGGCUAACUACGUGCCAGCAGCCGCGGUAAUACGUAGGUAGCGAGCGUUAUCCGGAAUUAUUGGGCGUAAAGGGUGCGUAGGCGGCUUGUUAAGUUUAAGGUGAAAGAAUGGGGCUCAACCCCAUAAAGCCUUAGAUACUGGCAAGCUAGAGUACUGGAGAGGGUAGUGGAAUUCCAUGUGUAGCGGUAAAAUGCGUAGAUAUAUGGAGGAACACCGGUGGCGAAGGCGGCUACCUAGACAGAGACUGACGCUGAGGCACGAAAGCGUGGGGAGCAAAUAGGAUUAGAUACCCUAGUAGUCCACGCCGUAAACGAUGAAUGCUAGAUAUCGGGGUAACUCGGUGUCGAAACUAACGCGAUAAGCAUUCCGCCUGUGGAGUAUGCACGCAAGUGUGAAACAUAAAGGAAUUGACGGGGGCCCGCACAAGCGGUGGAGUAUGUGGUUUAAUUCGACGCAACGCGAAGAACCUUACCAGGCCUUGACAUCCCUUGCAAAACUCUAGAGAUAGAGCAGAAGU
This 928-nucleotide ribosomal RNA is filed under the name uncultured bacterium. Its description in RNAcentral is "bacterial SSU rRNA". It matches the Rfam family "Bacterial small subunit ribosomal RNA", at positions 92 to 1018 of the family's 1533-position model. The record is from RNAcentral.